This 210-nucleotide long non-coding RNA is filed under the name Helianthus annuus (common sunflower). RNAcentral's name for it is "sRNA HanXRQr2_Chr11g0478251". The record is from RNAcentral. Lineage: Eukaryota; Viridiplantae; Streptophyta; Magnoliopsida; Asterales; Asteraceae.
UGGGUUUCAUCUGAAAUGGUGGCGAUCCAGGACGUGGUGACCAACGUGAUUGACCGAGUAAUUAAUCUACCGAGCAACCCAAGGUAACCAGUGACUGAGGAGCUUGCUGCUUGGGGAUGUGUAGUGUUCGUCUACCCCUGUGUUGGGUGCUAAAUAAACAUGAACCAUGAACCUUGUUUAAGACUGUUUUAUUUACGCUUCCGCUACUUA